Molecule: non-coding RNA, 6870 nt
Organism: Rattus norvegicus (Norway rat)
Lineage: Eukaryota; Metazoa; Chordata; Mammalia; Rodentia; Muridae
Source: RefSeq, a predicted model, not a curated record
GGCUGCGGCCAGGGCAUCUGAAGGACUCAGCAGGUUUGCACUUCGCUGACCUGAUGGAUGAAUGGGCCCUGUCCACCCACAUGGGGCCUGGAAUCUUCAAUUACGGCAAUUACAUCAACAGGUCGGAAGGGCAGCACUUUCCACUGAAGAGGUUCAGGGCUUUAAAGAAAAAAAAAAUCCUAAAGCCACUGUUUUCCCUGCUUUCUUUUAAAGGGGCUAGGCCGAUCAAAGACGACCCCAUCUCCAGUCUAAUUGGGCCAUAGGUAGAGAAGAAAGGCAGUCCGCGUUUUCUGUGAGAGUUGGCUGCCACGCGCUCGCCCACCUCUGGACUCCCGGCUCCUCUCCCAUUCAAGUUUGUUUACAGAUCCCGACCGCACGUACUCUGCGCUCCCCACCUUUCUGAGAAUAAGACCUGGGGCCCUCCCCUCUGAAUCUCCCAGCAUGCAGCGCAGUAGUACAGUCAAGAUGGCUCUGGACUGCGGUCAGAAGGAUGGAUUGCGCGGAAAGGUCACUUAGUCUUUCUGAUUGUGUUUCCCUCAACAGUAAAAUCAGCACACUGCUGUCCACCUGCCUUUGCUAAAGUCGCAAAGGGUCCAGCUCCCACACAUACCCCAAUUAAUGUGGAUUUUUUUUUCUCAGCCACCUGUGAGGUAGUUCAGCUGAAGGGAGGUUCUUGCCCCAGUAGCAAAUGGGUGUUAGCUGAGAAUUUGCUAGAAGUGUAGAUCUUGGGCCUCACUCUAGGUAAGUAGGAAUCUGCAUUUUAUUUACCAAGCUUUCCAGGAAACGUGCGGACACAUUAAAACCUAAGGAAGGCUUUUCUAGACUGAAACUUGUCCCGUUGAACACGAGGGAGCUGGUGGCAGGGAGCCUGUAGCUUGUUUUCCUCUGAAGAUUUAUUCUUUCCUACAGGAGGGAUGCUUUGAGGCCCAGAAUGAAGUAGUUUAUCAUUGCAAAGGUAUUCAUCCAGUCACUGGGCCAUUCAGUUGACAGACACCUGCUGAAUGGCACUAUAAGGUAGGUUUGAGCCAUAAUAGCUUCUGUAGCUAUGAAUGGGAUCAAGCAGAUCCUUCUAGACAGAGGGCCACACAAGCAAACGUUCUGUGUUUUAUAAGAGGGGGAAGGCAGCACAACUGAGCCCCAGAGUCUCACAGGAGCCUGCAGAACCAUAGCACAUUUGCAGACGGUACCACGGCGUGAUUAUGGACGAAUCCACUGUAACUUGACUGGUAAGCCCAAUGAGGUCGGUUGUACCUCUGCGUUAGUUCUGUGGACAUCACUGUCUGGUUUACUUUAGGUCUGGCCCUUCGUUUGAACCUUUUGUAUGCAAGGUACUGUUAGGUUUAUUGUACUGUUAAUUAUUUAAGAGGAGCAUUCCUUCAAACUCCUCAUGGAGUCUAAUGGCUGAAGUUGAUUGGUGACAUCAUAGUCUACUUCUUUUUUUUUUUUUUUGGUUCUUUUUUUUUUUUCGGAGCUGGGGACCGAACCCAGGGCCUUGUGCUUCCUAGGCAAGCGCUCUACCACUGAGCUAAAUCCCCAACCCCCAUAGUCUACUUCUUAAGAGUUUUAAGAUCACACUAAGCUGGGUGUGUUGGUGUGUGACUUUAAUCCAGCACUUGGGAGGCAGAGGCAGGCUGUUCUCUGAGUUCAGAGCCAGCCUGAUGUACAGAGUGAGUUUCAGGACAACCAAGGUUAAACAGAGAAACACUGUCUCCAAAACAAAACAAAACACCCCCCCCCACAACAGCUCCCCCAAUCACACUGAGCCUUGAAGAUUAGGAAAAUAAGAGAAUGGGCCUUCAGAUAUGUUAUUAAUGGGUGUGGCCUUUUUGGAAAAGCAAGGGAUCAUGCAUGUUAACUGGGCAUUGUUCUGUCAACGUGUUUAGCCGGGAACCAAAGCUGUCAUCUAGAAUCAUCGGAGGCUUGUCAUAGCUUCUCUCCCUUAGCAUCAUCUCAGUGUGUCCACAUGUGGCAGCAGUGGUGUGUGUGUGGAGAUGCCAUAGUGGUAUCCCAUAAGAGGUAGCUUACACCCUGGAUCAACCAAGGACCACGCCUCCUGAAGGGCUAAUGCGAUGUGGAGUGUGGUCACAGCUGGUGAGACAGAGAGUAGGUACAUCUAUGUAGGUGUCUGCAUGAAGAUGCAAAAUCGCUUCCUGGUACAGGUGUAAGGGCAGCAUGAGUAAAACCAAGCCCUGCAAGGUAUGACUCUUCAUCUCGACCAGAGAGGGUGAGCUCUUGGUGGCUCCUCCAGGCCACCAGGGUUCUUGGUCCUUGUGCAAUGCUGUCAUAGCAAAGACUGAGCUAUCAGGACCUCUUGGUCAUUGAGGACAGCAGUGUGGUGUUUAGCCAGGUUCUUCUUGCUUGGUUCUGUGACUGAGCUAAAGGCAAGGACUUUGUUUUGCUUGUAUUGGGUAGCACCCUUGGGUGCCGAGUUAAAAUUUAGCCAAACUUGCAAAUAAGGGUUAUCUGUCUCUGGCAUGGACAUCGGGGUCGAGGCUUUCUGCACCACUGCCCUCAGUGUGCACACUCUCUCUGUUUGGGCACAGGGUGAUGUGUUCCCCUGUCACUGAUCUCCGUCAGUAUAUAGGGACGUAGGUGGACAGUGCUUAAGUAACCCAGGGCCUUGAGCUCUAAGUGAGCUUUGCUGUGAAUGUGGCAAGGCACACGGUGAUUAGGAACCAGGCCUGGCUGGAUUCAAACCUGACUCUCUCCUCUGUCAGGGAAAGCAGGUCACUGCUUGAACGUCUCUUUCCCACCACUGAAGGGGUGAUCUGUCCUUGCUGUACCGUGAGGAUGAAGGAGACAGUGCAGUCCCGUAGUGGUUAGGUAGCUAAGAGUCUUGGUGUGACGCAGCCUCCCAAGAGCCUAGGGCUUGAGACUCAACUGCUUUCAGUUCAUGAAACCAUGUCAGCAUCAGAGCCAGGAACAAGAGAACCUAGAGCAGACCUCACAUCAGCUGAAUAAAGAAACUGAAGACAGGAAGGUCCCACCCUGUAGCCCCAUGGCCACAUAUCUAUCCUUAGAAACGUGCGUGUAUGCAUAUAUGUGCAUGCAUAUAAUCAAUUAUGACAUGUUUAUUCCAUGUUGCACAUUCCAGUUUCAGGAGCUGAAACCCCUCCCCCCCUUUUUCUGGCAUCUGAAGGCACCAGAAAACACACGGGAUACACAGACAUACACACAGGUAAAAACACCCAUACACAUAAAAAAAAAACAAAUAAGUCAGUUGGUUUUACACAGCUGUUCUGAGAACCCUGUAUGUAGGAUGUCUUAUUUUAGUCAGGAUGGGCGAGGUAAUGCUGUGACAACAAAGUCUUCAAAUCUCAGUGGCUGGAGUCAACCGACACCCACGCUUCUCAGGGUUUUGCUCUUUAGUAAAGAGGCUGCUGCCAGCUGUCCUUCUGACCUAAGCCCACCCACUCAACCCAGUUCACAGAAACCGCAGCAGACGAAGAGAGGGUGGAGGGUCCUGCAUCUGCUGGGAAGUGAUACCUGCUGGUUCACGCUUCAUCAGCCAGAAGACGUCAGGUUGCCACACCCAACCUCAACAGGCAAGGGGGCAGCAGACUCCUCUGGGAAAUGAGAUAUGGAAAAACCGAGAGGCAUGUGAUCGAUACCACACCGAAUGCCGCGAUCCUUACAUCCAACCUCUGAUGCUUGUUUUUUUUUUUUUUUUUUUUUUUUUUUUUAACCCUGAGCUUACACCAGAAGAAAUGGACACCGAGUCAGUCUUGACUGUUUGUAAGAGGGAGAUGUGGGAUUUAGUCUGGAAAGUCUGACUGAAAGAUCCCUUGUGUCACGUGUGUCUGUAUUCACGGUAGGAGGGAGGCUACAGAGGACGGAUGGCAUAGGUGCUUCCUUCAGAGUGUCAGUGGCUGGGCGCCACAGCCUGUGAGAGAAGCCCUGCGAGGAGGUGGCUCUCAUCUGUAGACCUCGAAGAGGCUUUGGAUCCUGAGAGCUGUUUAUUCUUUCCGUUCUUCCCCCAUCAAUCUAUCUGAGAACCAACUCUAAAGUCCACGUAGUCCACUCUCUUGACUUUCUUGACUUUCUGAUCUCUGUCAAGAGACGCCUGGAGGGAUGGGGGCUUGCAAGGAAGCUCUCCGAACUGGGCUUGACCAAGGAUCUUUCCUGGAAUGGGCCCUAGGGAGAAAUUAGAUGCAAGGGCCAAGUAGGAACUGGGUUUGAUUAGAGUUAGUGCAGCCCCCCUCUCUUCCGCCCCGUCAUUUCUCCUCCUGUCCAAUCCGCUCUUUCCCUCCCUCUCUCCCUUUUUUCCUCAGCCCUCCUGUCUGUUUAGGCUGGUGCUGAAUAUGUGUGUAUGGGGGUUGGAUGGAGGUGAGAAUGGGAAGCUAGGUGUUCCGGAAUGGUUGAAGGUAUUGGGGAAAGGCAGGGAGGAGGAAAAGCUUUGGCUCCCUGGGGUCCUAUAAGGAAAGGCCCCCAAGGUCCCAGUGUUUGCCUAGAAACUCAAGAAGAAACCUCUGCGGUGAGGCAGUGACCCCGUGAAGGAGUGUGUGUGUAACUGGAGGGAAGGAAAAUAAGCCUACCACAUGGCACACAGCCUGUGGGUCAUGGGGGAGUGUCAGCCUGCCGCUCAGCCACUGAUGAGUCAGGAGUAGAAUCUUUGUCAGCUUUCAGCAGCCUGAAGGCUGCUGCCUGGGGCUGGCCCCAGCACCUGGCCUCGCCCACAAGCUCCAGAAAGCUCCCUUCCCUCCCCCUUCCUCCCAGGAGCCAUGUUUGGCGGUGGGGGCAACUGGAACAGAAGCCAGUGUUUUCUGCCUCCUCUCUGGUUUCCUCCCUAACUCAGAGUCAGGGAUAGACCAGUGCUUCCGGGGUGGUUUGGGGUACCUGGGGAAUAAGAGGAGACCCAGGGUCACCCUUCCACACACUCAACAGCUGGCCACACAUGUGGCCUUUCACGGUUCAUCACCUGCCAAUGGUAGGGUCCAAGAAUUGAUGAAGGAAGCCCCCCAGACUCAAAUAGUAUGUAAAAGCAAAGAGCGCUUGUUCUGCAGGAAUUACCAGCAUGCAAAGGUCGACCAUUCAUCAAAAUGGGCGACCCUCCAAGGGCUUGUAAACUCCCUUUUAUGUAGGGCUAGGGGGAUUUUCCAGAAGGGUUAGGUAACCUCUAUCAUGAUUGGUGGAGGCAAGGCAGUGACAUUAGUAACAUUCUGAUUGGCUGCUAUGUUAGUUCUAUUGUAAUUGCCGAAACCUUGAAGAGUUUCAGAGACCAGCUCAGUUCUGGCCUUGUUGUCUCCUCAGCUAGGUGCCCAGGAGCUGACUCAGCUCCAGACUUACGGUCCCUAAAUCAGGGCUGUCACUGACUAACGGCCCCUCAGUGGCUCCCUCUGAGGAGCCCAGUUUGCUUCCCUGGGAAUCGAAAAUGUAUUAUUCCUUGAGAUUUUUGGACUUCUUACCAACAAAUAGCCUGACCAGUGCUUGUCUACUAGAAAAACUGUUUUCUAGCCUUUCUGGGAUCCCACUAUGUAAUUUCUCACCCCUCUACCCUGCUUCUCAUCCAUACCAUUGGAGGAUAUCAGCACACCUCAGAAGGCAUCUAGGCCAGCAGUUGCUAAACCCAGUGAGUGGGUCAUCACCCAGAAAGCUGUCAGAAACAUGAUCUCUGGGCUCCAUGAGGCCCAGCGGGUAGGGUGUUUGUACUACAUAAGUUGGGCAUGGUGGUCCAUACAUGUAACCCCAGACCUUCAGGAGGUAGGUGUGGCUAUAUACUCAGUUAAAGACUUCACAGAUCGGGGGUUGGGGAUUUGGCUCAGUGGUAGAGCACUUGCCUAGCAAGUGCAAGGUCCUGGGUUCGGUCCCCAGUUCUGAGAAAAAGAAAAAAAAAAAGGUUUCAUAGAUCAGAGAGGGAGCAAGGGAGAGAGGGAGGGGGAGAGGAGGGGGAGGGGGAUGAAAGGGGGAAAGGGGGAGGGAGGGAGGGAGGGGGAGAGAGAGAGAGAGAGAGAGAGAGAGAGAGAGAGAGAGAAUUCUUAGUCUUGGUUCUCAGUUCUGACUUUUGGGCAGGGACUGAUUUGCAGGUCUCACGCCCUGUGGGCCAUCCCUUGGGAGGUCACAGUGGGGACGAAGUGUGUUAACGGCUUGUCUUGGCAACUGACUCUCCUCGUGUGGAUUUAUGGCUUGCAUUAAGGGCUAGUUUUCCAGACCUGCUGAGAGGACCAGCACUGCCCCUCCAUCUCAUCUCUGCAGGUUGCCCGGAUACAGACCUCCUGCAAGGAGCCGGUUUCUCUACUGGCCUGCAGCCAAUCUGUGCAGGGAAAGGAGCCCUCACGGAGUAGGCCACAGUGUCCUUCUGGAUGCUUCCUUUAAUGUGAUUCAUCUACUUGUCCCUACUGACAGUCUCAGCUUUCCAGGAUGACUUGGAUGGAAGCUUUAAGCAUACACAGCCAGACGUGUGUAGCACAGGGUUCCACAUAUGCUGCUUGUACCCUGCUGUGUUCAUUCAGUGACGUUCUCUUCCCAGGAGACUCUGUGAUAGUGUCCGUGGUUGGCUUCUAUUUUUUCUUUUUCUUUCUUUCUUUUCUUUUUUUUUUUUUUUGGCUCCAUAGUGUUCUGGGGAACACACCCUUAGUAUCUGAGGAGCCAGGCUCCAGCCUUUUGGGGGAGUCUUUAGUCGUAGUAGUAACAGGGAGUUUUGAGGCAUGAUGGGACAUGAAGGAACUACGACUAACCACAAUGCAAUUCCACAUCUGAAAUGUGGCUGGUCCAGUCACGAUUGCCUACAAUGGCAAAAAUGCAAACUAGACUUUGAAGAAUUAAUUUUAAAAUGUAAACCAUCUUAUUUAAUACUUUAAAAAAACAAAUCAUAUUUUAAAUCUUAUAUUUUAAAUGUAUCAGCAAUAUCAAACAUGCGACGAAUCAAUUAAA